CCUACGGGUGGCAGCAGUGAGGAAUAUUGGUCAAUGGACGAGAGUCUGAACCAGCCAAGCAGCGUGAAGGAUGACUGCCCUAUGGGUUGUAAACUUCUUUUGUCAAGGAAUAAAACGAGGCGCGAGUGCCUUUUUGCAUGUACUUUAUGAAUAAGAAUCGGCUAACUCCGUGCCAGCAGCCGCGGUAAUACGGAGGAUCCGAGCGUUAUCCGGAUUUAUUGGGUGUAAAGGGAGCGUAGAUGGGUUGUUAAGUCAGAUGUGAAAGUUUGCGGCUCAACCGUAGAAUUGCAUUUGAUCCGGGCAGUGUUGAGUACAGUGGAGGGAGGUGGAAUGCUAGGUGUAGCGGUGAAACGCGUAGAUAGAAGGAAGAAUCCCGAUGGCGAAGGCAGCCUACUAAACUGAGACUGACAUUGAGGCUCGAAAGCGUGGGGAUCAAACAGGAUUAGAUACCCGUGUAGUC
Molecule: ribosomal RNA, 460 nt
Filed under: uncultured bacterium
Lineage: Bacteria
Description: partial 16S ribosomal RNA
Rfam family: Bacterial small subunit ribosomal RNA
Source: RNAcentral